Carassius gibelio (silver crucian carp) is the source of this 590-nucleotide long non-coding RNA. RefSeq lists it as uncharacterized. The transcript has 3 exons. The record is from RefSeq and is a predicted model, not a curated record. Lineage: Eukaryota; Metazoa; Chordata; Actinopteri; Cypriniformes; Cyprinidae.
CAAAGAUGGAGAAAGAUGAAGAUUUUUUCUUUCUAUCGCAUAUUUGUUUUUAAAAUUUACUCUGUAUUUGUGUGUGUGUGCGUGUUUGUGCUAUUUAUUGAUAAUUGUAAAUCAGGAGAAAUGUGUAUGUUCUGACAGACAUUUCAGGUGCUGGCAAAAACCCUACAGGCCUACAAGGAAUUGCCCAUGCUGUAUUAUGCUGGCAAGUGCUCACGCUCUUUUGACGACAGUGAUGGUCAAGAAAUCCAGAGAAAAGAAAAAAAACAAGGAUAGUGAUAUGAAGAUUUGGAUAUCCAGGUCUCAGUGAAGUUCUAAUGACAUUUGGCGCCACAAGAUGGCAGUGUAAGCGCGGGAAAGGGAAAGGAAGUCCUUUUUGAGACAUUUUAACAGGUCCGUAAGAGCUUCUCUCUCUCUCUAUUUCUGCUUUUACCCUUUAGUGAUCCAUUUACUGCGGCAAUGGAGUUUUAUUUUCAACUCGGAGCCCAUUGUCUUACAACAUCUCAAACACAGCUUUUUAAAUCCACCAUCAUUUACACCUGUGGAGAAAAAAAAUGAGGACAUGAAGAGUUCUAACUGCAUACUUGGCUAAU